AAGGCUUUAAGUUAACUAAACUAAUAGCCUUCAAAGCUGUAAAUAAAGGUAGAAAAUUCUUUAAGCCUUA
RNAcentral lists this transfer RNA (70 nucleotides) under Protonemura datongensis. RNAcentral's name for it is "tRNA-Trp". It matches the Rfam family "tRNA". Rfam says of the family: Transfer RNA (tRNA) molecules are approximately 80 nucleotides in length. Their secondary structure includes four short double-helical elements and three loops (D, anti-codon, and T loops). Further hydrogen bonds mediate the characteristic L-shaped molecular structure. tRNAs have two regions of fundamental functional importance: the anti-codon, which is responsible for specific mRNA codon recognition, and the 3' end, to which the tRNAs corresponding amino acid is attached (by aminoacyl-tRNA synthetases). tRNAs cope with the degeneracy of the genetic code in two manners: having more than one tRNA (with a specific anti-codon) for a particular amino acid; and 'wobble' base-pairing, i.e. permitting non-standard base-pairing at the 3rd anti-codon position. Lineage: Eukaryota; Metazoa; Arthropoda; Insecta; Plecoptera; Nemouridae. The record is from RNAcentral.